Molecule: ribosomal RNA, 292 nt
Filed under: uncultured bacterium
Lineage: Bacteria
Description: partial 16S ribosomal RNA
Rfam family: Bacterial small subunit ribosomal RNA
Source: RNAcentral
GUGCCAGCAGCCGCGGUAAUACGUAGGUGGCAAGCGUUGUCCGGAUUUAUUGGGUUUAAAGGGUGCGUAGGCGGUCAAAUAAGUCAGUUGUGAAAUACGGCAGCUCAACUGUCGAGGUGCAAUUGAUACUGUUUGACUUGAGUAUUGUUGAGGUAGGCGGAAUGGACGGUGUAGCGGUGAAAUGCUUAGAGAUCGUCCAGAACACCGAUAGCGAAGGCAGCUUACUAAAGAAUAACUGACGCUGAGGCACGAAAGUGUGGGGAUCAAACAGGAUUAGAUACCCUGGUAGUCC